UUGAAAUCUGGCACUUUCAGUGUCCGAGUUGUAAUUUGAAGAAGGUAUCUUUGGGUCUGGCUCUUGUCUAUGUUUCUUGGAACAGAACGUCACAGAGGGUGAGAAUCCCGUGCGAUGAGAUGUCCCAGACCUAUGUAAAGUUCCUUCGAAGAGUCGAGUUGUUUGGGAAUGCAGCUCUAAGUGGGUGGUAAAUUCCAUCUAAAGCUAAAUAUUGGCGAGAGACCGAUAGCGAACAAGUACAGUGAUGGAAAGAUGAAAAGAACUUUGAAAAGAGAGUGAAAAAGUACGUGAAAUUGUUGAAAGGGAAGGGCUUGAGAUCAGACUUGGUAUUUUGUAUGUUACUCUCUCGGGGGUGGCCUCUACAGUUUACCGGGCCAGCAUCAGUUUGAGCGGUAGGAUAAGUGCAAAGAAAUGUGGCACUGCUUCGGUAGUGUGUUAUAGUCUUUGUCGAUACUGCCAGCUUAGACUGAGGACUGCGGCUUCGGCCUAGGAUGUUGGCAUAAUGAUCUUAAGUCGCCCGCUG
RNAcentral lists this ribosomal RNA (523 nucleotides) under [Candida] sp. RNAcentral describes it as "Candida sp. (in: Saccharomycetales) partial large subunit ribosomal RNA". It matches the Rfam family "Eukaryotic large subunit ribosomal RNA", at positions 115 to 654 of the family's 3401-position model. Lineage: Eukaryota; Fungi; Ascomycota; Saccharomycetes; Saccharomycetales. The record is from RNAcentral.